RNAcentral lists this ribosomal RNA (301 nucleotides) under uncultured bacterium. RNAcentral describes it as "partial 16S ribosomal RNA". It matches the Rfam family "Bacterial small subunit ribosomal RNA", at positions 509 to 809 of the family's 1533-position model. The record is from RNAcentral.
CAGUCGCCACGGGAAUACGGAGGGUGCAAGCGUUAAUCGGAAUUACUGGGCGUAAAGCGCACGCAGGCGGUCUGACAAGUCAGAUGUGAAAUCCCCGGGCUUAACCUGGGAACUGCAUUUGAAACUGUCAGGCUGGAGUCUUGUAGAGGGGGGUGGAAUUCCAGGUGUAGCGGUGAAAUGCGUAGAGAUCUGGAGGAAUACCGGUGGCGAAGGCGGCCCCCUGGACAAAGACUGACGCUCAGGUGCGAAAGCGUGGGGAGCAAACAGGAUUAGAUACCCGCGUAGUCCCUGUCUCUUAUAU